AAGCCAAAAGCAGAAAAAGCCUAGCCAAGCAACUGGAAAGAGUUAAUGAGAGACUUGCAGAGGCCAACACCAAGCUCCUUUGGGAGCGCCACAGAAGCAAAUCUGCAGUCCCAAGCAGCGCCGUCAGCGGACAUCUGACUGCAAGUCCACUUCUGGAUUCAACUGGCCUGGGACAUCUUGGUAUCAGUUUGGGACUGAGCAGAAGCCUGGGUCUCAGAACAGCACCCAGACAUCUGUUGUAAAGCUGAAGACAGGAUGCUCCAAAGGGCCACGGCAGACCUCGAUGAAGAAGGUGGGAUCUACAUCCCAUAUCGUACCCAUGGAAGCCUUUUCAACCUAAGGCGACUGAAGGCCCACACCAAGACCUUAAACCAUCUUGUCCAGGA
Long non-coding RNA from Chiroxiphia lanceolata (lance-tailed manakin), 386 nucleotides. RefSeq lists it as uncharacterized. The record is from RefSeq and is a predicted model, not a curated record. The transcript has 3 exons. Lineage: Eukaryota; Metazoa; Chordata; Aves; Passeriformes; Pipridae.